RNAcentral lists this long non-coding RNA (948 nucleotides) under Sorghum bicolor (sorghum). RNAcentral's name for it is "long non-coding RNA (SBIC_LNC001401)". Lineage: Eukaryota; Viridiplantae; Streptophyta; Magnoliopsida; Poales; Poaceae. The record is from RNAcentral.
AAAGUCUAGGUAAGAGAAAGGCAUGAUAUAAAGUUUGAGCUGCUGUUUAUCUUGUUCCUACUACACUAAAUUCUGGAGAUUUAUUUUGAAAACUUACAAAUCACAUGAUGAGUUCCUAGCAUUACAAACUACCUACCACAGCCAUACUUGCUAUAACAUCUUUUACUUAUAUUCACAUUGAGUUUGAUCGAGCUGUGUAGACCCUUAGGAGCUUUUCAUGUGGUUAAAUUAAGAUAUUCACUUGCACACAUCUACUACACCAUCCACCAUCAUUCAUUAAAAUUGCUAAAAAUAUUAUCACUCACUGUCCCAAAUAUUGUUAUUCUCUCUCUCUAAAAGAUUCAAUGCAGAAGAGGCAUGGGUUAUGUAAAAAUAUGCGAGGAAAUAAAAAGGGGCAAGUGCCCGGAACCUUGGAAAAGAAAAAAAAGAGUGAGACGAGAGGUAAAAAUGGACAACUGUCCGGAGUAGAAUUAGGGGUACAAAGAUGCCCACUUGAGCGGAAAAAAUGGACAAGUGUCCGACAGUAGAAUUAGGGGUAUCUACUACCCACCUGAAAAAAAAGAGAGAGAAAAGAUAGCCCAUGUUCUCCCAAAGCAAAGAUCAAAGAAGAGGAGAGAUAGCAAUAUGAGGAGCAAUGAGAAGUAAGUUUAUUAUCACUUAUACAUUUUUACCAUCACUAUCAUUUACCCCACCACACAUGCACAUCUUGAUUUAAUUAUAUGCUGAGUUUCUUUGGAUCUAUGGCUCGAUUAGACAACAUAUAUAUGAGCUGUUUUUCACUCCUACGAGCUCCACUUAAAUAUUUCAUUAGCUAUAGGUAAGUGACAUUUUGGUAAGGAUCCACAAAUACCACAUAUAGAGAGACUUGAGAGAACCAUUGCUGGGAACUCUAAGUUUUAUUUUGAAAACUUAUGAAAAACUCUGGAACAAAGGUGAAGUAUAGACAGG